AUGGCGGCGCCGUUGGGCCUGGCGAGGCGGUUGCUGGUGCCCGUAAGGCUCCCGGAGCGCGCAUGGAAGCGUUCUGCCUUCAUUGUAACCAAGCAGCACGAUAAUGGACCCCAGUGGGUAAAAGUUGCAGUGACCUUGGGCGCAGCUGCAGCCCUGUGGCGCCUACUCUUCGUGAUACGCAAGAGGGAUUUGAAGGAAUAUGAAAGAAGACAAAAAGCACUAACCGAAACAUGUACAGACACUCAGACACCUCUUCGCCAGAUGUCAUCCGGCAGCACUGCCGCUGGCCCUCUUCGAUGGACUUCGGUUCUCUAUGCAGCUUCCGGUAUUUUUUCCGUUGGUGGCUUAUAUUAUGCUUACCGAAUAGUCAUGUCAAGCAAAGAGAGGUAUAAUGAACGGCUUCGUUAUACUGAAGAAGCACGUGAAAGGGAGCUGAAGGCUUGGUCACAAACCAAAAAAUAAGAUACAAGGGAAUUCUGUCGAGGAAGUAAAAUAGAAACAAAGGACAGUCGUUCACCAUUGCAUACCUCGCAGCCUACCUUGGGAUGACUUUAUGCCUUCUUUUGCAAACGCUCCGUCCUUGUGAGAUUUGAAAAGUAAUAUCUUUGUUUGUUAGGCCAGACCAUAUUGAGAUAUUGAAUAUGUCCUGUAGAAGGCAACUUUGAGAUUGUCAAGAAUCUGGCCGGUUUGAACGAAUGCUAUAUUUGACUGUCCAAUAAAGUGUACUGAAUGUUGAGCUUGGCUGUUUAG
RNAcentral lists this long non-coding RNA (750 nucleotides) under Crocodylus porosus (Australian saltwater crocodile). Its description in RNAcentral is "lncRNA (ENSCPRG00005008132.1)". The record is from RNAcentral. Lineage: Eukaryota; Metazoa; Chordata; Crocodylia; Crocodylidae.